Triticum dicoccoides is the source of this 804-nucleotide long non-coding RNA. RefSeq lists it as uncharacterized. The record is from RefSeq and is a predicted model, not a curated record. The transcript has 2 exons. NCBI's taxonomy places the organism in Eukaryota, Viridiplantae, Streptophyta, Magnoliopsida, Poales, Poaceae.
CGACUAUUUUUUUACUGCGACUGGAGGGAGUAUCUAACCUCGGCGAAAAGGGUGGCAAAUCCCAAUCCGACUGUCUCCGCCGGUGGUACCAACUCCGAGCAGAUCUCCCCUCUUCCUUCGAUUCGUGGUUGAAUUCGAUUCCGGAGCGGUCUUUCAACGAUCAGAGUCCCUAAGGUAAGAUCGCUGCAGAUCGCUGCUAGCUUUGUUCGUUCCGCCUCCACUCCAGCAAAUCAAAUGGAGCCUCCGCGCACAAGCCUCAAGUCUGGAUCUUGCGAUGAUCUGAAAAACGGGCGCAGAAAAAUGAUGGAGGAGUAUGAGGCUGGACUUGCUGGACUUUUGGAGCUUCAGGCGCUCGAGCGCGAGAUGCGCGAACUUGUCCCCGCAGCGACCAGCGCAAUCGCGCUCCUGGCCACUCCAAGGGUGGGUGAUACGAGGGAGACCUACUGCCAUGUUUGCCAUGAUGAAUUCGAGGAGGGGGACAAGCUGAGGGCGAUGCCCUGCGCCCACUCUUUCCAUCAGCGCUGUAUCUUCAGGGCGCUCAGUGUUAACCGUCUGUGCCCAGUCUGCAGCUACGAACUUCCGGGGGACUACUUGGAGAUGCCUUGAAACCGCUCAUGAAAGAUUGUUUCCUGUGAUCCUUUCUUAUGCAGCGUUAUGUAUAGUUCAUAAUUAUGCGUUUCUUUAUCUAUCUGUAGUGCAGAUCAGCAACUUUUGUCAUCUCCUUGGAGAAUAUUGCUCCUACAACAUUAUUCGGGUUAACUCUGCUAUUAUGCUAAACCUCAUCAGGAGGCAAUACAUUGUCUA